CCAGUUGGAACUGGGAAACAGAAGAGGACAGAAGAGAAAAGAAAAGAUGAUGAAAAGAAGGGUGCUUUGGUUCGCCUUCGGUUUCUCAUCGUCUGCAGCUGCAAUGAAAAUUUUUAUCUCCAACGAUCUCGAGACCGAUCGCAAUAUUAUCUCUUCCCAGUUGAAGCAUAAAUUCGAUGCCCUCGACACCAGAGUCUCCAAGGUCGAAGCAGUCCUCGCUAACAGUCCCAAUUCCCACCAGGACGAGGACGAUCUGAACUGAAAUCCUUAUCUUUGGCUUUAUGUGGCUGGUUUUCACCUUUUUGUUGCUUAGUUCCUCAAUAUGAGGAAUUUUUCAUUUGGAAAGUCAGAUUCUUAUUGGUAGACAUCUUAGAAUUGCUUUGCUAGUUGUUUUAGUGUUGUAUAUUUUUUGGUCCCAACAAAGCCACAUAGCUUUUACUUGCUACUUUUGGAGCUUCUUUAUAACCCUCCUUUGUUACCUAAUGUAAUGGUAAUUGAUCGUCACUCUUUGAACCUGUGGUAUGGGUGUUUGCAAUAAUAUUUUAACGGAUUUUUUUUCA
Cornus florida is the source of this 560-nucleotide long non-coding RNA. RefSeq lists it as uncharacterized. The record is from RefSeq and is a predicted model, not a curated record. The transcript has 3 exons. Lineage: Eukaryota; Viridiplantae; Streptophyta; Magnoliopsida; Cornales; Cornaceae.